UACGUAGGGGCUAGCGUUAUCCGGAAUUACUGGGCGUAAAGGGUGCGCAGGUGGUUUCUUAAGUCAGAGGUGAAAGGCUACGGCUCAACCGUAGUAAGCCUUUGAAACUGGGAAACUUGAGUGCAGGAGAGGAGAGUGGAAUUCCUAGUGUAGCGGUGAAAUGCGUAGGUAUUAGGAGGAACACCAGUUGCGAAGGCGGCUCUCUGGACUGUAACUGACACUGAGGCACGAAAGCGUGGGGAGCAAACAGGAUUAGAUACCCCUGUAGUCCCUGAGCGGG
This 280-nucleotide ribosomal RNA is filed under the name uncultured prokaryote. Its description in RNAcentral is "partial 16S ribosomal RNA". It matches the Rfam family "Bacterial small subunit ribosomal RNA", at positions 524 to 803 of the family's 1533-position model. The record is from RNAcentral.